GGCAUUCACUACUGUAAGUCGCUUUGGAUAAGAGCGUCUGCUAAAUGACUAAAA
Molecule: non-coding RNA, 54 nt
Organism: Salmo salar (Atlantic salmon)
Lineage: Eukaryota; Metazoa; Chordata; Actinopteri; Salmoniformes; Salmonidae
Source: Rfam